CACCUCCCUGUCCUCCAUGUGCCUCAGCAGAGCUUGUGGGAGGGUCUGUUCCAUGAUCUUCCCAGGCACAGAGAGCCUGGGAGAAAGGGAUCCUGUGCUGACAUCCCAUCUGCAGCCCUGACUGUUGUCCAUCAACCAAGAAAAACAUCAGAGCAGAACAUCUGCUGGCUGACUUGUGGUUUCUGAUCCAACUGGUUCCUGGUAAAAUAAACCAGAUUAGUUUAAACUAA
Pipra filicauda (Wire-tailed manakin) is the source of this 230-nucleotide long non-coding RNA. RefSeq lists it as uncharacterized. Lineage: Eukaryota; Metazoa; Chordata; Aves; Passeriformes; Pipridae. The record is from RefSeq and is a predicted model, not a curated record. The transcript has 2 exons.